Molecule: ribosomal RNA, 545 nt
Filed under: uncultured crenarchaeote
Lineage: Archaea; Thermoproteati; Thermoproteota
Description: bacterial SSU rRNA
Rfam family: Archaeal small subunit ribosomal RNA
Source: RNAcentral
ACGGGGCGCAGCAGGCGCGAAACCUCUGCAAUAGGCGAAAGCUUGACAGGGUUACUCUGAGUGAUUUCCGUUAAGGAGAUCCUUUGGCAUCUCUAAAAAUGGUGCAGAAUAAGGGGUGGGCAAGUCUGGUGUCAGCCGCCGCGGUAAUACCAGCACCCCGAGUGGUCGGGACGUUUAUUGGGCCUAAAGCAUCCGUAGCCGGUUCUACAAGUCUUCCGUUAAAUCCACCUGCUCAACAGAUGGGCUGCGGAAGAUACUAUGGAGCUAGGAGGCGGGAGAGGCAAGCGGUACUCGAUGGGUAGGGGUAAAAUCCGUUGAUCCAUUGAAGACCACCAGUGGCGAAGGCGGCCUGCCAGAACGCGCUCGACGGUGAGGGAUGAAAGCUGGGGGAGCAAACCGGAUUAGAUACCCGGGUAGUCCCAGCUGUAAACGAUGCAGACUCGGUGAUGAGUUGGCUUUAUGCCAACUCAGUGCCGCAGGGAAGCCGUUAAGUUUGCCGCCUGGGGAGUACGGUCGCAAGACUGAAACUCAAAGGAAUUGACGGA